Molecule: transfer RNA, 72 nt
Filed under: Candidatus Wildermuthbacteria bacterium RIFCSPLOWO2_12_FULL_40_9
Lineage: Bacteria; Candidatus Wildermuthiibacteriota
Description: tRNA-Thr
Rfam family: tRNA
About the family: Transfer RNA (tRNA) molecules are approximately 80 nucleotides in length. Their secondary structure includes four short double-helical elements and three loops (D, anti-codon, and T loops).
Source: RNAcentral
GCCGGGAUAGCUCAGUGGUAGAGCAACGCUUUUGUAAAGCGAAGGUCGUGGGUCCGAAUCCCUCUCCCGGCU